AUUGAACGCUGGCGGCAUGCCUUACACAUGCAAGUCGAACGGCAGCAUGGAGAGCUUGCUCUCUGAUGGCGAGUGGCGAACGGGUGAGUGAUGCAUCGGAACGUACCGUGUAAUGGGGGAUAACGUAGCGAAAGUUACGCUAAUACCGCAUACGACCUGAGGGUGAAAGCAGGGGAUCGCAAGACCUUGCGUUAUACGAGCGGCCGAUGUCAGAUUAGCUAGUUGGUGAGGUAAAGGCUCACCAAGGCGACGAUCCGUAGCGGGUCUGAGAGGAUGAUCCGCCACACUGGGACUGAGUCACGGCCCAGACUCCUACGGGAGGCAGGAGUGGGGAAUUUUGGACAAUGGGGGCAACCCUGAUCCAGCCAUGCCGCGUGAGUGAAGAAGGCCUUCGGGUUGUAAAGCUCUUUCGGCCGGGAAGAAAUCGCACAGGCUAAUACUCUGUGUGGAUGACGGUACCGGCAUAGGAAGCACCGGCUAACUACGUGCCAGCCGCCGCAGUAA
This 504-nucleotide ribosomal RNA is filed under the name uncultured bacterium. RNAcentral's name for it is "partial 16S ribosomal RNA". It matches the Rfam family "Bacterial small subunit ribosomal RNA", at positions 30 to 523 of the family's 1533-position model. The record is from RNAcentral.